UACGUAGGGUGCGAGCGUUGUCCGGAAUUAUUGGGCGUAAAGAGCUUGUAGGCGGUUUGUCGCGUCUGCCGUGAAAAUUCGAGGCUCAACCUCGAACUUGCGGUGGGUACGGGCAGACUAGAGUGUGGUAGGGGAGACUGGAAUUCCUGGUGUAGCGGUGAAAUGCGCAGAUAUCAGGAGGAACAGCCGAUGGCGAAGGCAGGUCUCUGGGCCACUACUGACGCUGAGAAGCGAAGACAUGGGGAGCGAACAGG
Molecule: ribosomal RNA, 254 nt
Filed under: uncultured bacterium
Lineage: Bacteria
Description: partial 16S ribosomal RNA
Rfam family: Bacterial small subunit ribosomal RNA
Source: RNAcentral